Molecule: transfer RNA, 72 nt
Filed under: Parcubacteria group bacterium
Lineage: Bacteria
Description: tRNA-Arg
Rfam family: tRNA
About the family: Transfer RNA (tRNA) molecules are approximately 80 nucleotides in length.
Source: RNAcentral
GUCUCUGUAGUUUAACGGAUAAAACGAUGGGCUUCGGACCCAUUGAUGGGGGUUCGAUUCCCUCCGGGGACA